GUAAAGAGUCUAUGACUGUAACAUGGGAGGGGAAAACAGCAUGCCUGAUUGCAGCACCUGCUUGCACAGGUAAACUUAAUCAGAGCGCCAGGUAUCAGCUGAGCUCUGUUCAUCCAGCAGCAAUUAGCCCACCUCAGCUGUGAAGAAUUUAGCUAAACUCAUCAACAGUAUUCUGAGAAGAGGGAUGAUAGGAAAAGCUGUGUUUAGACUUCAUGCCUUACCAGCUGGAGUGGGGGCUGCUGGUGUUGCCUUCUGUCAACAGGGUCUGUGGGGUGACAGUCUGCUUGGAAAGCUCUGCCUCGCUCACAAGCUGAUAAGGAGAAUAUGCCAAGUCAACCAGAUGAGUCAGCACAGGCAACAUAAAGUCUCUCUUCCCCAAGAAUUAACAUCCUCCUUCCAGCUGUGUCCUGCUUUCAAAAGAGAUGUGAAACCAUUCUAGAACUUGAGAUGUGAGUGAUUCCAAGGAGAAGAAGAAACUAGAAACUGCUUCUGCUGUGAUCAUUACGAAUGACUUGUGAAUGAAUGCUCUGGGAUUCUUAACCCCUAUAUGACUUCAGCUGUUGUUCAAGCAUUAAUUCUAUCAGUGCACUGAUUACUUUAUUCACAGUUUGCAGAGAGCUUAUUGAAGCCUGAAGUUUAAGUGAUUUAUUCAAGGUAGUACAUUCAACCAUGCCAGAGCUUGUGUUACAUCCCAGGAGUUCCUUACAAUUAAACUCUUACAAUACUAGGGAAAAGGACAACUGACUGUACAGACAUGUAUUAUACUUGCAAUACUCUGUGAGAAUUAGCUGAAUAUAGUACUGGUCAAUAAUGGUCAAUACUGACCAUUUUCACUCAGUGCUGACAAGAUCCUUUUUCCCUGUUGGCAACGUGGAUGCUAGCAAAGAUGGUGUUCAUUUCUUUGCUGGCACCAGGUGUGGCAGAUCUUGUGAAGAAAAGGCAGUCGCUUGAAAACACACUGCUAUGCUCUACAUAGCAGUACCAGGACUGCCCACUUCUUUGGGAGAUUUCUGGGGACUUCUUUUUUGAAAAUACGGUAAACUGAAUGGAAAAUUCAAUACUAGAAGCAAUAAAAAUGAAGGUAGAAUUCUUCUGUAGAUGAAA
RNAcentral lists this long non-coding RNA (1104 nucleotides) under Phasianus colchicus (ring-necked pheasant). RNAcentral's name for it is "lncRNA (ENSPCLG00000022014.1)". Lineage: Eukaryota; Metazoa; Chordata; Aves; Galliformes; Phasianidae. The record is from RNAcentral.